RNAcentral lists this ribosomal RNA (428 nucleotides) under uncultured archaeon. RNAcentral's name for it is "bacterial SSU rRNA". It matches the Rfam family "Archaeal small subunit ribosomal RNA", at positions 474 to 903 of the family's 1478-position model. The record is from RNAcentral.
UACCAGCUCUCCGAGUGGUGUGGAUGUUUAUUGGGCCUAAAGCAUCCGUAGCUGGCUGGGCAAGUCCCCUGUUAAAUCCACCGAUUUAAUCGUUGGAGUGCGGGGGAUACUGUUCGGCUAGGGGACGGGAGAGGCCGACGGUAUUUCCGGGGUAGGGGUGAAAUCCUAUAAUCCCGUGAAGACCACCAGUGGCGAAGGCUGUCGGCUAGAACGCGCCCGACGGUGAGGGAUGAAAGCUGGGGGAGCGAACCGGAUUAGAUACCCGGGUAGUCCCAGCUGUAAACGAUGCAGGCUAGGUGUUUGGGCGGCCACGUGCCGCUCUAGUGCCGCAAGGAAGCUGUUAAGCCUGCCGCCUGGGGAGUACGGCCGCAAGGCUGAAACUUAAAGGAAUUGGCGGGGAGCACCACAAGGGGUGAAGCUUGCGGUUU